This 296-nucleotide unclassified non-coding RNA is filed under the name Hevea brasiliensis (rubber tree). Lineage: Eukaryota; Viridiplantae; Streptophyta; Magnoliopsida; Malpighiales; Euphorbiaceae. The record is from RNAcentral.
CGCCAAUGGUGUCGCCGAUCACCGCCGCCUUGUGGCAGUCCGAUCCCUUGGGCCCCAGCGACCUCGCGUGCUCACUCGCCCCAGCCUCGAUGUAUUUCUUUGCGUUGUCCCAUGCGCCACCGGUGUUCGACGCAGAGAUGGCGACCUGUACGCCGGAGACGAGGGCGCCGGCGAGGACGCCGGAGAGGGUCUGGACGCCGAAGAGGGUGCCGACGAUGAGCGGCGUGAGCAUGACGAGGGCGCCGGGAGGGAUCAUCUGCUUGAUGGAGGCGUCGGUGGAGAUCUUGACGCAGUUG